This 74-nucleotide transfer RNA is filed under the name Gemmatimonadota bacterium. Its description in RNAcentral is "tRNA-Ala". It matches the Rfam family "tRNA". From Rfam's summary of the family: Transfer RNA (tRNA) molecules are approximately 80 nucleotides in length. Their secondary structure includes four short double-helical elements and three loops (D, anti-codon, and T loops). Lineage: Bacteria; Pseudomonadati; Gemmatimonadota. The record is from RNAcentral.
GCCCCCGUAGCUCAGCAGGAAGAGCGUACCGCUUGCGAACGGUGAGGCCGCGGGUUCGAGUCCCGCCGGGGGCG